UUAGUCAAUGCUCGCAAGAGUGAACUAGCUAACUGAAAUCAAAGGUGUGUCACCUUUGAUAAGGUAAGGGAAAAGAAAAGAUACUACCUUACUAUUAGUGUCGUCCAAGUACUCGUGCCAGAAGACUCGGUAAGGCGAGAGACGCAAACGUUAGUCGUCUUGAUCAGGCGUAAAGGGUUUGUAGGCGGCUUUAAGAAUGGAUUUCUUCUAAAUUACACUCUUAUUUAAGAUCAUUACUUAAGAACAUGGAAGGAAAAAAUCAAUUAAAGCUAGAAUCAAAUAGAGGUCAAAUUAAAUAAUACUUGGUGUAAGAUUGGUAUCUUUAAAAACCAAGCGGAAUACUAACGGCGAAGGCUUUUUUCCAUUAAUGAUUGACGCUGAGAAACUAAGGUGAGGACAGAAAAAAGGAUUAGAGACCCUCGUAUCCCUCACUGUCAACGAUGAAUGGUAGUUACUAGAUAAAUAAUAAAAUAAAAUAUUUCUAGAGACGAUGUUAACACGAAAACCAUUCCGCCUUGUGAGUACGACUGCAAAGUUGAAAACAAAAAAAUUAGUCGGUUUCGGAGCAAACGAAGUGAAGCAUGUUAUUUAAUG
RNAcentral lists this ribosomal RNA (594 nucleotides) under Xylodon crystalliger. RNAcentral's name for it is "partial small subunit ribosomal RNA". It matches the Rfam family "Bacterial small subunit ribosomal RNA", at positions 364 to 951 of the family's 1533-position model. The record is from RNAcentral. Lineage: Eukaryota; Fungi; Basidiomycota; Agaricomycetes; Hymenochaetales; Schizoporaceae.